RNAcentral lists this unclassified non-coding RNA (1787 nucleotides) under Neodiprion lecontei (redheaded pine sawfly). RNAcentral describes it as "ran GTPase-activating protein 1, transcript variant X1". The record is from RNAcentral. Lineage: Eukaryota; Metazoa; Arthropoda; Insecta; Hymenoptera; Diprionidae.
CAGUUUCCCGCGAAUUGGUAUAAAAGUGGUUGUGGCUGGCGGCUUUGUUUUUGUCUAGUAUUAUUUCAUCAGUAUAUGAAAUAAAGUGUUAUCCUUCUACUCUGUAACAGCACGAUCUAAACUAGCUACUGAUUUGUGGCGGUUCAUUUGCUAGUGAUUUAAAACUAACAUCAACAUCAUGACCACGUUCAAUCUAACCGAAAUACAAGAACAGCUAAACAAAGCCAGUGAAAAAACUCCUGAAAGUGGUGUUUCGUUUAAUGGAAAAUCACUGAAAUUAAACAGCGAAGCGGACGCUGAGGAAGUCGUCAAAGCAAUUGAACAAUGUCAGAAAUUGGAUUACCUCGACUUGGAAGGAAACACGCUUGGUCCCGAUGCGGCCAAGGCAGUGGCAAAGGCUUUGGAAGCGAAGGGUUCUUCGCUCAAACGAGCCCUGUGGAAAGACAUGUUCACAGGGCGGAUGAAGACUGAGAUUCCUCUUGCCCUGGAAUAUCUAGGUACAGGACUAUGUGCAGCCCAAACUCGCCUUGUCGAGCUUGAUCUCAGUGACAAUGCGUUUGGCCCUGUCGGCGUUAAGGGGUUGGCCACGCUACUCAGCUCUAGCGCAUGUUUCACUCUACGUGAACUCAAACUGAACAACAAUGGACUUGGAAUAACGGGAGGAAAAAUGCUAGCCAAAGCUCUUCUAAAUUGUCAUGAAAAUAGUUCUAAGGAAAACGUAGGAACAGCACCAUUGGCCUUGCGAGUCUUCAUUGCUGGACGAAACAGACUAGAAAAUGAUGGAGCUGCAGCACUGGCUGAGGUGUUCACAAAGCUGACUACCCUGGAAGAGAUAUCGAUGCCACAAAAUGGGAUUUACCACAAAGGGAUAGCUGCUCUAGCACAAGCGCUCUCCGUCAAUCCAAGAUUGAAGAUUUUAAACCUCAACGAUAACACAGUUGGGCCAGAGGGAGCACGAGCUCUAGCAAAAUCCUUACCGAACUUGCCAGACCUGGAAAAACUUAAUCUUGGAGAUUGUUUGCUCAAAACACGGGGAGCCUCAGUGCUGGCUGAAGCACUAGCCAACGAAGGCGCACACCGCAAUCUGAUGGAAUUGAAUUUGAGCUUUAACGAAAUAGGCGCGGCUAGUAUCGAUGCAAUAGUAGCGGCCGUUGCGGAUAAGCAGGAAUUGACGAGCUUAGUACUUGAUGGCAACGUUUUUGGUAGCAAAGGAAGAGAAAACUUAGAAGGAGCACUUAUUGCUUCGCAAAAACUAUCGGUUCUUGGGAGUCUUGAGGAGAAUGAAUCUGAAAGCGAAGGCGAUAGCGAAAGUGGAGAGGAAACUGAAAGUGAGGACAGCGACGAUGAAAACAAGACUUCUGAAGUAGAAAAGGAAGACGAUCAAGAGAUAUCAAAGAUCGAAAAGGAUAAACAGAACGUGACGGUUCAGGACUUUUUGAAAAAUCCAACUGCUGAAAACCUUCUCCGACUUCAAGGCGACAAAAUACAGUUGUUCUUGGAACACGCUAAGCGGCUAUAUGGAUGCCAGAAUAGAGGCAGAACGAGUGACAGACGGGCUUUACAUGGAAUUGUUUGCAUAUGCGACAAAAACUGACCAAGUUUCCCAACUAAACAAUGUUUUUCUGAUUAAUUUGGGCUUGAUUAAGAGUGAGGAUAAAACUGCUGGUAGAAUUGAUUGGAAUCUCGAGGGAUGCUUUAAAGCAUUGGAGAAAAUAAGCACCAAGGAUUAUUUUCUAACAGAGACUAGGAAUGCCCUAAAAGUAUUCAUUGAACUACCAAUAAAAACU